Durio zibethinus is the source of this 459-nucleotide non-coding RNA. The record is from RefSeq and is a predicted model, not a curated record. NCBI's taxonomy places the organism in Eukaryota, Viridiplantae, Streptophyta, Magnoliopsida, Malvales, Malvaceae.
CCAGGAGGCCCAAAAAGGAACUGCUGAGCAAGCCAGAGGAUUUGACACUGUGACGGAUGAAACUGCUGUAGAUGUCAGUCCGAUGCCUAUUGAUGAACCUACUGUGAAAGUUGAGCAAGAAACAUUAAACAAAGCAUCGGAUCAGAUGUACCCAAAGCCCUAAGCAAAAUCCUCCCAAUUAGAUUCUGGAUGUAUUUUCUGCGUCUGCAAUUCGUCAGACAUUAUAGACUCCUAUGUUUAUCAAUCAAUCUAAAUUUGUACAAGUAAUGAAAACCUAAUACUAUGAUUUUGCUUUAUAUCGUAUCAAGAGUUUAAAGUUUUAAUAUGUCAAACUUCAAAGUUCGAACUUGAAGGUCAAAACAGUUUUAAGAUUAGUAGCAGCACAUAAAUAUAGGCAGUGGAUUUUAUUAGCAUUCUUAUUUAUAGAACAAUCGUAGUGAAUUGAUUCAUUGUUGACAA